Molecule: ribosomal RNA, 492 nt
Filed under: uncultured bacterium
Lineage: Bacteria
Description: partial 16S ribosomal RNA
Rfam family: Bacterial small subunit ribosomal RNA
Source: RNAcentral
AGUGAACGCUGGCGGUAGGCCUAACACAUGCAAGUCGAACGGCAGCACAGUAAGAGCUUGCUCUUACGGGUGGCGAGUGGCGGACGGGUGAGGAAUACAUCGGAAUCUACUUUUUCGUGGGGGAUAACGUAGGGAAACUUACGCUAAUACCGCAUACGACCUACGGGUGAAAGCAGGGGAUCUUCGGACCUUGCGCGAUUGAAUGAGCCGAUGUCGGAUUAGCUAGUUGGCGGGGUAAAGGCCCACCAAGGCGACGAUCCGUAGCUGGUCUGAGAGGAUGAUCAGCCACACUGGGACUGAGACACGGUCCAGACUCCUACGGGAGGCAGCAGUGGGGAAUAUUGGACAAUGGGCGCAAGCCUGAUCCAGCCGUACCGCGUGGGUGAAGAAGGCCUUCGGGUUGUAAAGCCCUUUUGUUGGGAAAGAAAAGCAGCAGGUUAAUACCCCGCUGUUCUGACGGUACCCAAAGAAUAAGCACCGGCUAACUUCGUG